Molecule: long non-coding RNA, 198 nt
Organism: Salvelinus fontinalis (brook trout)
Lineage: Eukaryota; Metazoa; Chordata; Actinopteri; Salmoniformes; Salmonidae
Exons: 2
Source: RefSeq, a predicted model, not a curated record
CCUGGUUCCUCUCUAGGUUUCUUCCUAGGUUUUGGCCCUUCUAGGGAGUUUUGGCCUUUCUAGGGAGUUUUUCCUAGCCACCGUGCUUCUACACCUGCAUUCUAGCUGUUUGGGGUUUUAGGCUGGGUUUCUGUACAGCACUUCGAGAUAUUAUCUGAUGUACGAAGGGCUAUAUAAAAUAAAAUUGAUUGAAAUUGA